Molecule: unclassified non-coding RNA, 288 nt
Filed under: fungal sp.
Lineage: Eukaryota; Fungi
Description: partial internal transcribed spacer region
Rfam family: Eukaryotic small subunit ribosomal RNA (bases 1-46)
Source: RNAcentral
AAGUCGUAACAAGGUUUCCGUAGGUGAACCUGCGGAAGGAUCAUUACCAAUUCGACCUUGGGUUUGGAAAAUGGCGUCGCGAGAUGCUUUUUCUGAAUUCCAUCCAACCAACCUUUGAUUGUGAACAAGGAUUCAAAAAAGUCUUCCUGUGUUUGUUCACGGGGAGCAAUUUUAUCCAACCCCACUUAAAUCCGCACCGCGCGUGUGGAAAAAGCAAGCGUUGAGCUCCGAAACUGAAAAACACAAAAAUGUCAUGUACAACUUUUAACGGCGGAUCUCUUGGCUCGU